RNAcentral lists this ribosomal RNA (253 nucleotides) under uncultured bacterium. RNAcentral's name for it is "partial 16S ribosomal RNA". It matches the Rfam family "Bacterial small subunit ribosomal RNA", at positions 524 to 776 of the family's 1533-position model. The record is from RNAcentral.
UACGUAGGGUGCGAGCGUUGCCCGGAUUUAUUGGGCGUAAAGAGCGUGUAGGCGGCCAUGUAGGUCCGGUGUGAAAACUCGAGGCUUAACCUCGAGAUGUCAUCGGAAACCAUUUGGCUAGAGUCCGGAAGAGGAGAGUGGAAUUCCUGGUGUAGCGGUGAAAUGCGCAGAUAUCAGGAAGAACACCAAUGGCGAAAGCAGCUCUCUGGGACGGUACUGACGCUGAGACGCGAAAGCGUGGGGAGCGAACAGG